AGCUUGCUCCUCUGACGUUAGCGGCGGACGGGUGAGUAACACGUGGAUAACCUACCUAUAAGACUGGGAUAACUUCGGGAAACCGGAGCUAAUACCGGAUAAUAUAUUGAACCGCAUGGUUCAAUAGUGAAAGACGGUUUUGCUGCCACUUAUAGAUGGAUCCGCGCCGCAUUAGCUAGUUGGUAAGGUAACGGCUUACCAAGGCGACGAUGCGUAGCCGACCUGAGAGGGUGAUCGGCCACACUGGAACUGAGACACGGUCCAGACUCCUACGGGAGGCAGCAGUAGGGAAUCUUCCGCAAUGGGCGAAAGCCUGACGGAGCAACGCCGCGUGAGUGAUGAAGGUCUUCGGAUCGUAAAACUCUGUUAUUAGGGAAGAACAAAUGUGUAAGUAACUAUGCACGUCUUGACGGUACCUAAUCAGAAAGCCACGGCUAACUACGUGCCAGCAGCCGCGGUAAUACGUAGGUGGCAAGCGUUAUCCGGAAUUAUUGGGCGUAAAGCGCGCGUA
Molecule: ribosomal RNA, 511 nt
Filed under: uncultured bacterium
Lineage: Bacteria
Description: bacterial SSU rRNA
Rfam family: Bacterial small subunit ribosomal RNA
Source: RNAcentral